AGUGGACGCUGGCGGUAGGCCUAACACAUGCAAGUCGAACGGCAGCACAGUAAGAGCUUGCUCUUACGGGUGGCGAGUGGCGGACGGGUGAGGAAUACAUCGGAAUCUACUUUUUCGUGGGGGAUAACGUAGGGAAACUUACGCUAAUACCGCAUACGACCUACGGGUGAAAGCAGGGGAUCUUCGGACCUUGCGCGAUUGAAUGAGCCGAUGUCGGAUUAGCUAGUUGGCGGGGUAAAGGCCCACCAAGGCGACGAUCCGUAGCUGGUCUGAGAGGAUGAUCAGCCACACUGGAACUAAGACACGGUCCAGACUCCUACGGGAGGCAGCAGUGGGGAAUAUUGGACAAUGGGCGCAAGCCUGAUCCAGCCAUACCGCGUGGGUGAAGAAGGCCUUCGGGUUGUAAAGCCCUUUUGUUGGGAAAGAAAAGCAGCAGGUUAAUACCCCGCUGUUCUGACGGUACCCAAAGAAUAAGCACCGGCUAACUUCGUG
Molecule: ribosomal RNA, 492 nt
Filed under: uncultured bacterium
Lineage: Bacteria
Description: partial 16S ribosomal RNA
Rfam family: Bacterial small subunit ribosomal RNA
Source: RNAcentral